CCGCCUGCCCUGUGACUAUAUGUUUAACGGCCGCGGUAUUUUGACCGUGCGAAGGUAGCGCAAUCACUUGUCUUUUAAAUGGAGACCUGUAUGAAAGGCAUCACGAGGGCUUAGCUGUCUCCCCUUUAAAGUCAAUGAAAUUGAUCUCCCCGUGCAGAAGCGGGGAUAUACUCGUAAGACGAGAAGACCCUAUGGAGCUUAAGAUAAAAGGCGAGUCAUGUCAAACACCCCCUCAAAGGAAAUGAACGAAAUGAUACCCCGCUGGAAUGUCUUCGGUUGGGGCGACCGCGGGGAAAGACAAAACCCCCACAUGGACCAGGGCCACUAUAGCCCUAAAACCUAGACCCACAGGUCAAGUCAACAGUAAAUCUGACCACCAAAGAGCCGGCAAUGCCGAUCAACGGACCGAGUUACCCUAGGGAUAACAGCGCAAUCCCCUCCCAGAGCCCUUAUCGACGAGGGGGUUUACGACCUCGAUGUUGGAUCAGGACAUCCUAAUGGUGCAGCCGCUAUUAAGGGUUCGUUUGUUCAACGAUUAAAGU
Molecule: ribosomal RNA, 542 nt
Filed under: Lampanyctus crocodilus (jewel lanternfish)
Lineage: Eukaryota; Metazoa; Chordata; Actinopteri; Myctophiformes; Myctophidae
Description: partial 16S ribosomal RNA
Rfam family: Bacterial large subunit ribosomal RNA
Source: RNAcentral